AGGGUUUGAUCAUGGCUCAGGAUGAACGCUGACAGAAUGCUUAACACAUGCAAGUCUACUUGAUCCUUCGGGUGAUGGUGGCGGACGGGUGAGUAACGCGUAAAGAACUUGCCCUGCAGUCUGGGACAACAUUUGGAAACGAAUGCUAAUACCGGAUAUUAUGUGAGUUUCGCAUGAAGUUCAUAUGAAAGCUAUAUGCGCUGCAGGAGAGCUUUGCGUCCUAUUAGCUAGUUGGUGAGGUAACGGCUCACCAAGGCGAUGAUAGGUAGCCGGCCUGAGAGGGUGAACGGCCACAAGGGGACUGAGACACGGCCCUU
Molecule: ribosomal RNA, 317 nt
Filed under: uncultured bacterium
Lineage: Bacteria
Description: bacterial SSU rRNA
Rfam family: Bacterial small subunit ribosomal RNA
Source: RNAcentral